This is a long non-coding RNA of Myotis lucifugus (little brown bat), 202 nucleotides long. RefSeq lists it as uncharacterized. The record is from RefSeq and is a predicted model, not a curated record. NCBI's taxonomy places the organism in Eukaryota, Metazoa, Chordata, Mammalia, Chiroptera, Vespertilionidae. The transcript is spliced from 3 exons.
CUGGUGUGCGACGGGCCCAACGGGGCCAGGCACCUGGGCCCAGAACGGGUCGCGCAGCUGCAGGACAGCGUCCGCCAGAAGCUCCUGGGUUUGUUCUGUCAGCUGAAACCGAGGGCGAGAACGGUCCCUAAGUGGCCCGACAAGCCGUACGAGUGGAACCAGGUGGACCCGAAGCUGGUCAUGGAGCAGGCGGAGCGGGAGG